GCCUUCGUGGUGUAGUGGUCUGCGCGCUCGACCCGUAACCGAGAGGUCCGUGGUUCGAUUCCCGGUCAAGGCA
Molecule: transfer RNA, 73 nt
Filed under: Stegodyphus mimosarum
Lineage: Eukaryota; Metazoa; Arthropoda; Arachnida; Araneae; Eresidae
Rfam family: tRNA
About the family: Transfer RNA (tRNA) molecules are approximately 80 nucleotides in length. Their secondary structure includes four short double-helical elements and three loops (D, anti-codon, and T loops). Further hydrogen bonds mediate the characteristic L-shaped molecular structure. tRNAs have two regions of fundamental functional importance: the anti-codon, which is responsible for specific mRNA codon recognition, and the 3' end, to which the tRNAs corresponding amino acid is attached (by aminoacyl-tRNA synthetases). tRNAs cope with the degeneracy of the genetic code in two manners: having more than one tRNA (with a specific anti-codon) for a particular amino acid; and 'wobble' base-pairing, i.e. permitting non-standard base-pairing at the 3rd anti-codon position.
Source: Rfam by way of RNAcentral